This 3014-nucleotide ribosomal RNA is filed under the name Chloroflexota bacterium. RNAcentral's name for it is "23S ribosomal RNA". It matches the Rfam family "Bacterial large subunit ribosomal RNA". Lineage: Bacteria; Bacillati; Chloroflexota. The record is from RNAcentral.
UGACAAGCGAAGAAGGGCGUAUGGUGGAUGCCUUGGCAACUAGGGCCGAUGAAGGACGUGGCAACGCUGCGAAAAGCCACGGGGAGCCGCUUGCAGGCCGAUCCGUGGAUAUCCGAAUGGGGCAACCCACCUCCCGUGAUGGGGAGGGACCCUCUUAGUGAGGGAGGCAAGUGGGGGAACUGAAACAUCUAAGUACCCCGAAGAAAAGAGACAAUUCCCGUAGUAGUGGCGAACGAACCGGGAGGAGCCCAAACCUGAUACGUGUGAUACCCUGCCGGGGUUGCGUAUUGGGGGUUGAAGGACCUACUGAGGUACGGCAGUAACCUCGAGCAGUUACAAAAGUUGCGUCUAGGAGAACGAGCCUGGAAAGGCCGACCAGAGGGGGUGACAGUCCCGUAACCGAAAGACGACAACACUGCUGUAGGUAUCCUGAGUACCACCAGGCACGAAGAACCUGGUGGGAAGCUGGGUCGACCACGAUCCAAGGCUAAAUACCCUAGUGACCGAUAGCGAACUAGUACCGUGAGGGAAAGGUGAAAAGCUCCCCGAGAGGGGAAUGAAAUAGAACCUGAAACCAUACGCUUACAAGCAGUCAGAGCUCCAUGUUACUCUACCUCGCAAGGGGUGGGGAUAGCGGAGUGAUGGCGUACUUUUUGUAGAACGGGCCGGCGAGUUACCCUCUUUAGUAAGGUUAAGCCAGUGACAGGCGGAGCCGAAGCGAAAGCGAGUCCGAAAGGGCGUCCUGAAAAGGAACAUUGGAGGGGGUAGACCCGAAACUGUGUGAGCUACUUAUGGCCAGGGUGAAGCGCACCUAACCGUGCGUGGAGGCCCGAACACACCACUAGUGCAAAAGUGGGUGAUGAGCUGUGAGUAGAGGUGAAAUGCCAAUCGAACACAGAGAUAGCUGGUUCUCUCCGAAAUGCAUCUAGGUGCAGCGUCACAUAUGGAGUUAUUGGGGGUAGAGCACUGAAACGGCUAGGGGGCAUUAGCUUACCAAACCGUAACAAACUCCGAAUACCAGUAACUUAAUGUGGCAGUGAGACGGCGAGUGCUAAGAUCCGUCGUCGAGAGGGAAACAACCCAGACCAUCGGCUAAGGUCCCCAAUUCUGGACUAAGUUGUAAAGGAAGUUAGAUCGCAUAGACAACCAGGAGGUUGGCUUAGAAGCAGCCACCCUCUAAGGAGUGCGUAACAGCUCACUGGUCGAAUGUGAUUUAGCGCCGACAAUUCACCGGGGAUCAAGUCCAGAACCGAAGCCAUGGUUCUACGUGUGAAACAUUCACGUGGAAGGUAGGAGAGCGUUCCGGAAGUCUGAGAAGCCGUACCGAGAGGAGCGGUGGAGAUAACGGAAGAGAGAAUGCCGGCAUGAGUAGCGCAUUGCGUGUGAAAAUCACGCACACCGUAAGCCUAAGGGUUCCGAAGCAAGGUUUAUCCACUUCGGGUCAGUCGGGCCUAAGGCGUACCCGAAGGGGGAAGCCGAUGGACAACAGGUUGAUAUUCCUGUACCACUCUGCAUCGUUUCUCGAAAGAGAUGGAGCAAUGGGGGGACGCAGGGGGCUAGGCUCCGAGAUCCAUGAGAUCUUCUAAGGUGGUAGGCUGAGGGGUAGGCAAAUCCGUCCCUCGCGUGAAGAACGCAAAGCCGAGAGCUGAAUGGAAGCUUUCUCCUUCGGGAGAGGGCAACGGAGUUGAGGCCGAGCUGCCGAGAAAAUCCUCUAGCCAGAGCGUAGAGUGACCGUACCGCAAACCGACACAGGUAGGCAGGUAGAGAAUACCAAGGUGAUCGGGUGAUCCAUCGUUAAGGAACUAGGCAAAAUAGCCCCGUAACUUCGGGAGAAGGGGCACCCUCUGGUGUGACGAGACUAGCUCUCCGAGCAUAGGGGGGUCGCAGUGAAAUGGCUCAGGCGACUGGUUAACAAAACCUUAGCUCUCUGCAAACGCGCAAGCGUACGUAUAGGGGGUGAUGCCUGCCCAGUGCUGGAAGGUUAAAGGGAGAUGUGCAAGCAUUGAACUGAAGCCCCAGUAAACGGCGGCCGUAACUAUAACGGUCCUAAGGUAGCGAAAUUCCUUGUCGGGUAAGUUCCGACCCGCACGAAAGGCAUAACGGUUCUGAGCACUGUCUCGACGAUGGGCCCGGCGAAAUUGAAAGACCCGUGAAGAUACGGGUUACCCACAGCAGGACAAAAAGACCCCGUGGAGCUUUACUACAACUUGCCAUUGGGUCGGGGCACAUCAUGCGUAGGAUAGGUGGGACCCUUUGAAGCUGCCCUUGCGGGGGCGGUGGAGGGAACGGUGAAAUACCACUCUUGAUGUGCCGCGGCUCUAACCCAAUUAGGGGACAGUGGCUGGUGGGUAGUUUGACUGGGGCGGUCGCCUCCCAAAGAGUAACGGAGGCGUCCAAAGGUACCCUCAGGCCGGGUGGCAAUCGGCCAGUGAGUGCAAACGCACAAGGGUGCUUGACUGCGAGGCCCACAAGCCGAGCAGGUACGAAAGUAGGGGUUAGUGAUCCCACGGUACCGAGUGGAAGGGCCGUGGCUUAACGGAUAAAAGCUACCCCGGGGAUAACAGGCUGAUCUUGCCCAAGAGUUCACAUCGACGGCAAGGUUUGGCACCUCGAUGUCGGCUCGUCGCAUCCUGGGGCUGGAGUAGGUCCCAAGGGUUGGGCUGUUCGCCCAUUAAAGCGGCACGCGAGCUGGGUUCAGAACGUCGUGAGACAGUUCGGUCUCUAUCCGCUGUGGGCGUUAGAAGGUUGCGAGGGGCUGCCCCUAGUACGAGAGGACCGGGGUGGACCAACCUCUGGUGUGCCGGUUGUUGACGAAGCAUAGCCGGGUAGCCACGUUGGGAAGGGAGAACCGCUGAAAGCAUCUAAGCGGGAAACCCUCCUCUAGAUGAGCCUUCUCACUCCCCCCGCAAGGGGAGGAGGUAAGACCCCUGGAAGAACACCAGGUUGUGAGUUCGCAGGUGUAUGUUCAGUAAUGGACGAGCCUAGCUGUUCCUCAUGGUCGAGGGCUUGUUUUU